Molecule: long non-coding RNA, 540 nt
Filed under: Parus major (Great Tit)
Lineage: Eukaryota; Metazoa; Chordata; Aves; Passeriformes; Paridae
Description: lncRNA (ENSPMJG00000004193.1)
Source: RNAcentral
GUACUGUCUUAAAAAGGAAUAGUCAAAAAGCAGGAAACUAUUUGGAUUAUAUCAAGAUUGGGUGUGCUUAAAGUUGUGUAUUUGCAGGAAUCUUUCAGGAGUAAGCUGGUCUUUAGCUUAAGCACAGCAAAGUACUUAACUGCACUCUCAUUUCUAUCCCUGUUCAUGGAAGGACAAAAACACAUAUUCUACAUGACAAGUGUAUCUCUGCAAUUUUGCACAGCUACUUAAAUUUUGUUUUCCUCCCCUUUCCUCCUUGUUUUUACGUGCAAAAUAAUGUCUUAAAAAUUAGUGAAGACUAAUUAAAACUAGUGAACAUUUUAGAUGUUUUUGCUGUUUCUUCCUGAUGCAGAUAACUUCUGCAAGCAUGUCAAGAAUGAAAUAUUAUUUUGUAUUGCAUGCUGCUGUGAAUGGAGGUGGCUACUGUCUAUCUUUGAGAAGCUCCACCAUCAAAAGCUAGAUGUAAAGGACACAACACUCACAGACUUCAUAUCUCAAUGUCUCCAUGACUUUUACAAGAGAGGUGACGUAAAGGCAUGA